This 237-nucleotide ribosomal RNA is filed under the name uncultured bacterium. RNAcentral's name for it is "partial 16S ribosomal RNA". It matches the Rfam family "Bacterial small subunit ribosomal RNA", at positions 112 to 334 of the family's 1533-position model. The record is from RNAcentral.
AACGCGUAGGUAAUCUACCCUUAUAUUUGGGAUAACAUUGGGAAACUGGUGCUAAUACCGAAUGGUCUUCAUUUCUGUUAGGGAGAUGGAGUAAAGGUGGCCUCUUCAUGAAAGCUACCGUGUAGGGAUGAGCCUGCGUACCAUUAGCUAGUAGGUGGGGUAAUGGCCCACCUAGGCUACGAUGGUUAGCGGGUCUGAGAGGAUGAUCCGCCACACUGGAACUGGAACACGGACCAG